This is a long non-coding RNA of Passer domesticus (house sparrow), 4461 nucleotides long. RefSeq lists it as uncharacterized. The record is from RefSeq and is a predicted model, not a curated record. NCBI's taxonomy places the organism in Eukaryota, Metazoa, Chordata, Aves, Passeriformes, Passeridae. The transcript has 3 exons.
AUAGAAAAAAAAAUGAGUCUGAAACUUCAGAAAGCUUUCUGCAAUCAAAUGAUGAGCCCAAAGGUGUGCCAUCAAAUGAGUGAGAUCAACUUUAGGACAUCAUUGGAAAGCAGGUCCUAGUCAGGACCCAGGGAAAGGACCCAAGCAAAACAGUUACUGAUUAUCUAACAACUGUGGGAUGUAAAACAAAGAUGGAGGAAUAAAUUAUGGAAGUUUUCUAUUUCUAUCUAAAAACAAAUAGACAGUGAGGUAGAAGGAACAGCACGUUUAGCAGAGCCAUUGUCUUCCUCAUUCUCAUGGGGACGCUUUCUCGUUGUGGUUGGCUGGAAGAAAAACACAGGAGGAUGGCUCCAGGAAACCAGUGUCACCUGAUUUGAUUGUGGCUACAUUUGAAUUGAUGGAUAAGGUAAGAAAUAUUUUUCCAUUGAUGUAACAAAGACCUGUGGUUUUUCUUCAGCAUGCAACCAAACUAAUCUUGUACCAUUCAAAAGACUUCAGUGAAGAUUUCAGAGGCAGAAACAGCAUAAGUGUUUAUGUGCCUUUAAAAAAUGUUUUAUUAAGUAAAUACAGGUAAGAAGACAUUUCCACUGAGCAGUACUUAGGUUUACACAGCUCAACAAGUUUUUAAAGUUCUAGAUUUAAGCAAAGAAUAAACAACUUGUUUUGAAAACACUAAUUUGAAAGCAGUACUAGUUUAAAUAAAUCUGCAGAACAUGCUUACUUCUAGUAUCUGAAAAAUUCCCUACUGCCCCCAAAAUCAUCAGAGGGCUAGCAGGCUGGCCACAGAGAGAAUGUGGAUUUUCCUGCUGACUUGUAAAGUCGAUACUUCCAGACAACACAAGAGGGAGAGAGGAGCCAGUAACUCCUCACUACUGACAGGAACAGGACUGGGGAGCUCUUUUGGUGAUAUGAGAUGUGUGAUACCUAGAGCUGAGCAUGCUGGAUGCUGGCCUUCCAAGCAGUCUACAUCACCUAUGAACACCUGACACUCUGAACAACAGCCCCUGGAGGGAAACAGCUCAAAGAGCAGCAGCUGAGUGCUAGACAACAUCUGGAUUUUUGGCUAUGAUGUUUUCUGGAACCUUCUGUCCUGUCUUCAAAAUUAAAUUUAACAGUAAGAGAUGUCCUUACAUGGAAUAUAUAAUCAAAUUAAUAACAACUUGAAUAUAUAUAUAUAUAGAUAUAUCUUAAAUUCUUAGCUCAUCUAGAUCAGUCAUCUAUUUCCCCUUCCCCCUUAUGCAUACCAGCAAUUUUUAAAAUCAGUGUUGCAUGGUUUCUGAAUAACUUUUUCUGCUCAGAUUUAUAAUUCAAAUGUAAGAGUCUAUAUCUGAUGAACUCAUUGUAAAUGUUACACACAUAACUACAGUAAGUAAAACCCAUGAAUGCCAGGAAAUGCUUCCUGAUGCCCAGGAGCAUAAUCAAGACAAGUUAAUCACUUUAAAAAGUAAUCCACCCAUGUUUUUUGUCUCAGAACACUAUCAGCUGUUGAGCACUGAGGGAUACUCCCUUGCUUCCCUCAUUUCUUAUGCUCUUCACCAAAGCCUCUGAAAUUCUCCUGUUCCCAGUGGGGGAACAGGAAUAGUCUUGUGCUUGGUGUGAAUAAACAGAACCUGUUGAAUGGCUCAGAUGUAGGCUGGGUGACAUUUUUCAGCCUCUUCAAGCAAAAAUAUUCAAGAAAGCUCAUCGGUUCAGUGGGUACCUCUGCCAAAAUUAAGAAAAGACCACCUAAAGACUAUCCCUCUCAAACCUAAUUAGACUGUAACAGGAGGCAGGGAAACCAUCACUUCCUACUCAGAGGAUUCCCAAAGCAGGGACACUUAUUCCUGCACAGCAGAGUAAAAACAAACUAGUAUUGGAUGCUUGCCAGAAACAAACUGCACUGCCUGCCCACACAAACAUCUGAGGAGAUGGGGCUCUGUUCCAAUGCCCAGAAGGAGAGGUCCAUCCUACCAGAACCACAGUCAGACUUGGGCUCUAAAAAACACAUCUGGAUCUCACGUGUGGAAGAGUUCUGGGAAGAGGUGUCUCAAAGGGAUGCAGAAGCUGCUUACUGUAUUGAAAGAAGGUAUCCAGGAGACUACUCCAUGCUGCUUUUGCAGUCUCUCUACAGGGACUAUUGAAAACACAUGAUAUGAACAAGUUAUCCCUCAAACAACACAGCUUUCACUUAAAACUCAAUUCCUACCUGAAGCCAAGGAUGCUCUAAGGCCUCCUCUGUGGUAAGGCGUUUGCUUGGAUCCACUACUAACAGCUUCUUCACAAGAUCCAGAGCUAAGACAAUAAAAUGAGCUGGUUGGCAUGUGGUCAAUACACUCAUUACCUGAAAUUUGCCUACACCAAAACUACCUGUGACAAUGUUCCUUACACCCCUUCAGAGCAAUGCACACAAGUGCAGGCUGGGCAGAUCCCUUUUCUUUUUCUGUGCAUGGGAAGGGCUGCAGACUGCAACCAUCCUUCCUUCACAUGCACACAACUCCACACUUCUCAGUAUACCAGAAUUACCCUUAGAUAUAUUUAGCAUAUACACAGUUUAUGUUCUGAGCAUGCACAGGAGGCUCAGCACUUCCCUAAAAGCUUCAGUAUUACUGUGGAAAAGCAAAGACAGCUUAAUUUAUCCUGGUUUACAGUGUCUUGGAAAGCAGAUUAUCCAUCUGGGAAAGUGGGAGAGAAGAGACAGGACAUACACAUGUAUGCUCAACAUAAACUUUCAUCUUCUUAGGAAGCUGCUUAGUAGACACUGUGAAAAAUAUGGCAUUUAUGUUGUAUUUCAUUACUCCAAAUCUCCCAUAAAGGAAUUUCAGCAAGAUUUAGUUUUCAUUUGAUCAGAUUAUUCUGAGUACAUAUCAGUAGGACUAUGGAAAGUAUGUUAAAAUUGUACAUUCUCAUGAAGGUCUGAUUUAAUAUUGAAUAAGCUCCAAACUAUUCAGGAAGAAGUUAUAUUUGAUAAGUUUAUUAGACAAAGGAUGACCACAUAAUUCCUCUGCACAUAAAAAGAAGUGUCCAAGGUAAAUACUACAGUUAUUUUGAGUAUAUAAAAUGUCCUGAAAAACUAAAAGCACACAGACAGUAAUUAUCAUUUUAGUUUGCUAUGCAAAAACUCAGUUUCACAGACUACUUCACUUACAGUGGGCCAAACAUAAUAGAUGAUUCCUCAAAUGUGACUGACACUUUCAGCUCAAAGACUAGCACCAUGAAAGGACUCUCUUGGAACGUUUGUUUUUUGGAAUUCUAACUCCUAUUCCUUAAAUUACUGGUAUUUUUGGUUCAAUACUUGAAGAAUCUUUAGGCAAAGUCUGUAGACCAGCUUGAUAAAGUCAGAAGAAAAAGUGAAAAGAGGAGAAACAGAUGUAUGUGCCCACAAACUCUGUACUUGUGUGGUUAAUUAUGCUAAAUACUACUAAGAAAUCUCUUCAAUAAUAAAGUAUGUGCUCUUUCUAAUGCUUUAACUAUGAACUUCAAAAAAUAUUUUAAAUAUAUUAGCUUAAAAAUGAAACAUAUUAACACACAAUGUGUCAUGCAGCUGAAAGGAGGAUAAAGGAAAAUAAAUCUACAAGAAGAGGUAGAUUUUUGCUACCCACUGUGCUGGAGUCAUACCCAUGUCUGACACAUGCUUCCACUCUUUUGCAAUGAAUGUGUAUUUUCCACGAGUGAUUUGAUCCUUCAGAGAGAGCUGAGUAUUUUGCUCAUUGAAUGGUGGAUAUCCACACAAGCUGUAUAAAAGAGAAGUUAAACAACACUGAAUUUCUCAUAGCAAAUGAAACACUGAAAUCACACAUUUUAAGGCAGUGUUUUUAUACAUGUAGAGUUUUAAACUUUCCCUUCCUCAAACAGACACUGAAGUUGCCAAGUCUCAAGCCAUGCAUGUCAAAGACUGCCCAGUGAAGGUACAGCUACACAAUAUCUUACCAUACAAAAAGAAUAACUCCUAAACUCCAGCAGUCCACAGCUCGGCUGUAUCCAGCAGUCCCAAGUGAAUUUAGAACCUCAGGAGCAAGAUACAUGGGAGUACCACAUAAUGUUUUCAUAAGAGAAGCUUCUCCAAGAAUCUUGGAUUGUCCAAAAUCUGUAAUCUUGUAUUUAAAAAUGGUAACACCACAUUACAUAUGAGGAUGGACUGUACUAGAACACAUCAUACUGUAGACAUACAUCAGGAGGUAGCAUUAAGUUUCUUCCUUCCAAGCCAGUUCCAGUACAUGACUAUGAAGUCACCCCAAAUAUUUUUAAAGAGGAAGAGAGAGAAAUAUGACAAAGAAUCACAACUUACACUACAAAAAAAAAUACUCUGAUAUUUGGAUAUAAAUGGACAACUACAGAAUAAAGGUAUUGUAGCCUAUUAGAAAAGUUUACAUGAAAAAUAUGCAUUUCAGUAUGUAAAUAGAGUCAAUGCUUUCUCUGGGGGAAAAUAAAAACAACACAAGAGAAAAUACAGAACCCUAAUUUCACCCCCCCCAAAAAAAAACC